UACGGAGGGUGCUAGCGUUGUUCGGAAUUACUGGGCGUAAAGCGCGUGUAGGCUGCUUCGCAAGUCGGAUGUGAAAGCCCUGGGCUCAACCCAGGAAGUGCAUUCGAAACUGCAGAGCUGGAGUCCUGGAGAGGAAGGCGGAAUUCUCGGUGUAGAGGUGAAAUUCGUAGAUAUCGAGAGGAACACCGGUGGCGAAGGCGGCCUUCUGGACAGUGACUGACGCUGAGACGCGAAAGCGUGGGGAGCAAACAGG
RNAcentral lists this ribosomal RNA (253 nucleotides) under uncultured bacterium. RNAcentral's name for it is "partial 16S ribosomal RNA". It matches the Rfam family "Bacterial small subunit ribosomal RNA", at positions 524 to 776 of the family's 1533-position model. The record is from RNAcentral.